UCCUGGUUAUAAACAAAUAAAAUUUACCAGAGUACUAUGAAUAUUAUAAAAUUUAAAACUCAAAGGACUUGGCGGUGUUUUAGACCAUUUAGGGGAACCUGUCUUAUAAUCGAUAAUCCACGUUACACCUAACCUUUCUUUGCUUUCAGUUUGUAUAUCGUUGUCGUCAGGUAACUUUUUAGAAAUUAGAAGUUAGCUAAAAAUGCUAAAUUUAAACGUCAAAUCAAGGUGCAGCUAAUAGAAAGGUAAAGAUGGGUUACAAUUAUCUUAAUUAUAAUAACGGAAGAUCAUGUGAACUUAGUGAUAAAAAAGGAGGACUUAAAAGUAAAUUAGAUUAUAUAAAUAAUUUGAAUAAGGCUCUGAAAUGUGCACACAUCGCCCGUCGCUCUUGUUGGAAAAUAAGAUAAGUCGUAACAUAGUAGGGGUAAUGGAAAUUGUUCCUAAACU
Molecule: ribosomal RNA, 447 nt
Filed under: Unedogemmula leucotropis
Lineage: Eukaryota; Metazoa; Mollusca; Gastropoda; Neogastropoda; Turridae
Description: partial small subunit ribosomal RNA
Rfam family: Microsporidia small subunit ribosomal RNA
Source: RNAcentral